Molecule: non-coding RNA, 78 nt
Filed under: Geobacteraceae bacterium
Lineage: Bacteria; Pseudomonadati; Thermodesulfobacteriota; Desulfuromonadia; Geobacterales; Geobacteraceae
Description: c-di-GMP sequence
Rfam family: c-di-GMP-I riboswitch aptamer
About the family: GEMM was predicted in a large-scale screen for bacterial structured RNA regulatory elements.
Source: RNAcentral
ACACGAUAAUACUAAACCAUUCGCGAGAAUGGGACGGAAAGCCUACAGGGUCUCAUAGCAGACAGCCGGGUUGCCGAA